ACGGUGAAAGAGAGCUUGCUCUCUGGAUCAGUGGCGAACGGGUGAGUAACACGUGAGCAAUCUGCCCUUGACUCUGGGAUAAGCGCUGGAAACGGCGUCUAAUACCGGAUACGAGCUGCGAAGGCAUCUUCAGCAGCUGGAAAGAACUUCGGUCAAGGAUGAGCUCGCGGCCUAUCAGCUUGUUGGUGAGGUAAUGGCUCACCAAGGCGUCGACGGGUAGCCGGCCUGAGAGGGUGACCGGCCACACUGGGACUGAGACACGGCCCAGACUCCUACGGGAGGCAGCAGUGGGGAAUAUUGCACAAUGGGCGCAAGCCUGAUGCAGCAACGCCGCGUGAGGGACGACGGCCUUCGGGUUGUAAACCUCUUUUAGCAGGGAAGAAGCGAAAGUGACGGUACCUGCAGAAAAAGCACCGGCUAACUACGUGCCAGCAGCCGCGGUAAUACGUAGGGUGCAAGCGUUAUCCGGAAUUAUUGGGCGUAAAGAGCUCGUAGGCGGUUUGUCACGUCUGCUGUGAAAACUGGAGGCUCAACCUCCAGCCUGCAGUGCGUACGGGCAGACUAGAGUGCGGUAGGGGAGAUUGGAAUUCCUGGUGUAGCGGUGGAAUGCGCAGAUAUCCCGAGGAACACCGAUGGCGAACGGCAGAUCUCUGGGCCGUAACUGACGCUGAGCAGCGAAAGGGUGGGGAGCAAACAGGCUUAGAUACCCUGGCAGUCCACCCCGUA
Molecule: ribosomal RNA, 726 nt
Filed under: Microbacterium sp.
Lineage: Bacteria; Bacillati; Actinomycetota; Actinomycetes; Micrococcales; Microbacteriaceae
Description: bacterial SSU rRNA
Rfam family: Bacterial small subunit ribosomal RNA
Source: RNAcentral